CCCUUAGAUGUUCUGGGCUGCACGCGCGCUACACUGAUACUUUCAGCGAGUCCACCACCUUGCCUGAGAGGGUGGGGUAACCUCUGGAAAGUGUAUCGUGAUGGGGAUCGAUUAUUGUAAUUAUUAAUCUUCAACGAGGAAUUCCUAGUAAGCAUGUGUCAUCAGCCCGUGCUGAUUACGUCCCUGCCCUUUGUACACACCGCCCGUCGCUCCUACCGAUUGAGUGCUCAGGUGAGCCAUUCGGACUUUCAUCAUGCUGGUUUCCAGUUUUGAUGAAGGAAAGUCUUGCGAACCUUAUCAUUUAGAGGAAGGAGAAGUCGUAACA
RNAcentral lists this ribosomal RNA (325 nucleotides) under uncultured eukaryote. RNAcentral describes it as "partial 18S ribosomal RNA". It matches the Rfam family "Eukaryotic small subunit ribosomal RNA", at positions 1470 to 1796 of the family's 1831-position model. The record is from RNAcentral.